Stegodyphus dumicola is the source of this 240-nucleotide long non-coding RNA. NCBI's taxonomy places the organism in Eukaryota, Metazoa, Arthropoda, Arachnida, Araneae, Eresidae. The record is from RefSeq and is a predicted model, not a curated record.
AAGAGAUUGUAAAGUGAUUUAGCACUCUUCUUACUACCAUAAAUUUAAGCAGCCUAAACGAUGCAAGCGAUCGUACAGAUUUCUGUGUUGGCGGUGACACUAUGGUUGAUGGUUUCUUCUGCAACGGGAUGUUAUACAUCAAACUGCGGAGCAUGCGACAGACGCCUGUGCCCAUACAUUAACAAUUGCAAAUGCGGGUACUAUAUGGACUACUGUGGCUGCUGUCCUGUUUGUUACAGG